GCUGGUAUGGCGCAAUGGUAGCGCAACGGUUUUGUAAACCGUAGGUUGUGGGUUCGAGUCCCUCUACCAGCUCCA
This 75-nucleotide transfer RNA is filed under the name Coriobacteriales bacterium. Its description in RNAcentral is "tRNA-Thr". It matches the Rfam family "tRNA". From Rfam's summary of the family: Transfer RNA (tRNA) molecules are approximately 80 nucleotides in length. Their secondary structure includes four short double-helical elements and three loops (D, anti-codon, and T loops). Lineage: Bacteria; Bacillati; Actinomycetota; Coriobacteriia; Coriobacteriales. The record is from RNAcentral.